CCUACGGGUGGCAGCAGUGGGGAAUAUUGCGCAAUGGGCGAAAGCCUGACGCAGCGACGCCGCGUGAGGGAUGAAGGUCUUCGGAUCGUAAACCUCUGUCAGCAGGGAAGAACGGUCACUGUGCUAAUCAGCAGUGAAUUGACGGUACCUGCAAAGGAAGCACCGGCUAACUCCGUGCCAGCAGCCGCGGUAAUACGGAGGGUGCGAGCGUUAAUCGGAAUUACUGGGCGUAAAGCGCUCGUAGGCGGUAUGUCAAGUCAAGGGUGAAAUCCCCGCGCUCAACGUGGGAACUGCCUUUGAAACGGGGAAACUGGAGUGUGUGAGAGGAUAGUGGAAUUCCAGGUGUAGGAGUGAAAUGCGUAGAUAUCUGGAGGAACAUCAGUGGCGAAGGCGACUAUCUGGCACAUAACUGACGCUGAGGAGCGAAAGCGUGGGUAGCAAACAGGAUUAGAUACCCUUGUAGUC
This 465-nucleotide ribosomal RNA is filed under the name uncultured bacterium. RNAcentral describes it as "partial 16S ribosomal RNA". It matches the Rfam family "Bacterial small subunit ribosomal RNA", at positions 338 to 795 of the family's 1533-position model. The record is from RNAcentral.